AACGAACGCUGGCGGCGCGCUUAACACAUGCAAGUCGAACGAGAAGGCGUAGCAAUACGCUUGUAAAGUGGCGAACGGGUGAGGAAUACAUGGGUAACCUACCCUCGAGUGGGGGAUAACCCGCCGAAAGGCGGGCUAAUACCGCGUACGCUUCCGAUCUUGCGGGAUCGGAAGGAAAGCUGUCCCUUGGGGAUGGCGCUCAAGGAUGGGCUCAUGUCCUAUCAGCUUGUUGGUAGGGUAACGGCCUACCAAGGCAUCGACGGGUAGCUGGUCUGAGAGGACGAUCAGCCACACUGGCACUGCGACACGGGCCAGACUCCUACGGGAGGCAGCAGUGAGGAAUAUUGCGCAAUGGGCGAAAGCCUGACGCAGCGACGCCGCGUGGGGGAUGAAGGUCUUCGGAUUGUAAACCCCUUUCGGGUGGGAAGACGGCCCUAGACAACUAGGGCGGACGGUACCGCCAGAAGCAGCCACGGCUAACUUCGUGCCAG
RNAcentral lists this ribosomal RNA (491 nucleotides) under uncultured bacterium. RNAcentral describes it as "bacterial SSU rRNA". It matches the Rfam family "Bacterial small subunit ribosomal RNA", at positions 29 to 511 of the family's 1533-position model. The record is from RNAcentral.